Molecule: ribosomal RNA, 505 nt
Filed under: uncultured bacterium
Lineage: Bacteria
Description: partial 16S ribosomal RNA
Rfam family: Bacterial small subunit ribosomal RNA
Source: RNAcentral
GACGAACGCUGGCGGCGUGCCUAAUACAUGCAAGUAGAACGCACAGUUUAUACCGUAGCUUGCUACACCAUAGACUGUGAGUUGCGAACGGGUGAGUAACGCGUAGGUAACCUGCCUGGUAGCGGGGGAUAACUAUUGGAAACGAUAGCUAAUACCGCAUAAUAUUAAUUAUUGCAUGAUAAUUAAUUGAAAGGUGCAAUUGCACCACUACCAGAUGGACCUGCGUUGUAUUAGCUAGUAGGUGAGGUAACGGCUCACCUAGGCGACGAUACAUAGCCGACCUGAGAGGGUGAUCGGCCACACUGGGACUGAGACACGGCCCAGACUCCUACGGGAGGCAGCAGUAGGGAAUCUUCGGCAAUGGACGAAAGUCUGACCGAGCAACGCCGCGUGAGUGAAGAAGGUUUUCGGAUCGUAAAGCUCUGUUGUAAGAGAAGAACGGGUGUGAGAGUGGAAAGUUCACACUGUGACGGUAUCUUACCAGAAAGGGACGACUAACUACGUG